AGUGAACGCUGGCGGUAGGCCUAACACAUGCAAGUCGAACGGCAGCACAGUAAGAGCUUGCUCUUACGGGUGGCGAGUGGCGGACGGGUGAGGAAUACAUCGGAAUCUACUUUUUCGUGGGGGAUAACGUAGGGAAACUUACGCUAAUACCGCAUACGACCUACGGGUGAAAGCAGGGGAUCUUCGGACCUUGCGCGAUUGAAUGAGCCGAUGUCGGAUUAGCUAGUUGGCGGGGUAAAGGCCCACCAAGGCGACGAUCCGUAGCUGGUCUGAGAGGAUGAUCAGCAACACUGGAACUGAGACACGGUCCAGACUCCUAAGGGAGGCAGCAGUGGGGAAUAUUGGACAAUGGGCGCAAGCCUGAUCCAGCCAUACCGCGUGGGUGAAGAAGGCCUUCGGGUUGUAAAGCCCUUUUGUUGGGAAAGAAAAGCAGCAGGUUAAUACCCCGCUGUUCUGACGGUACCCAAAGAAUAAGCACCGGCUAACUUCGUG
This 492-nucleotide ribosomal RNA is filed under the name uncultured bacterium. Its description in RNAcentral is "partial 16S ribosomal RNA". It matches the Rfam family "Bacterial small subunit ribosomal RNA", at positions 29 to 507 of the family's 1533-position model. The record is from RNAcentral.